This 473-nucleotide ribosomal RNA is filed under the name uncultured bacterium. Its description in RNAcentral is "bacterial SSU rRNA". It matches the Rfam family "Bacterial small subunit ribosomal RNA", at positions 28 to 517 of the family's 1533-position model. The record is from RNAcentral.
GACGAACGCUGGCGGCGUGCCUAAUACAUGCAAGUCGAACGUGAAGCCGGUGCUUGCACCGGUGGAAAGUGGCGAACGGGUGAGUAACACGUGAGAAACCUGCCCCGGAGACUGGGACAACCAUUGGAAACGAUGGCUAAUACCGGAUACCCCCGGAUGGUCGCAUGACCAACCGUGGAAAUGCUCUGGCGCUCUGGGAGGGUCUCGCGGCCUAUCAGCUAGUUGGUGGGGUAACGGCCCACCAAGGCAUCGACGGGUAGCUGGUCUGAGAGGACGAUCAGCCACACUGGGGACUGAGACACGGCCCAGACUCCUACGGGAGGCAGCAGUAGGGAAUCUUGCGCAAUGGGCAAAGCCUGACGCAGCAACGCCGCGUGAGGGAUGACGGCUUUCGGGUUGUAAACCUCUUUCAGUGAUGACGAAAAUGACGGUAAUCACAGAAGAAGGUCCGGCCAACUACGUGCCAGCAGCCG